GGCAUGGUGGAGCAGUGGUAACGCCACCGACUGACAAUCGGUUGACCCGGGUUUGAUUCCGGCUAAAUAUCA
RNAcentral lists this transfer RNA (72 nucleotides) under Alosa alosa (allis shad). RNAcentral describes it as "tRNA-OTHER". The record is from RNAcentral. Lineage: Eukaryota; Metazoa; Chordata; Actinopteri; Clupeiformes; Clupeidae.